GAUGAACGCUGGCGGCGUGCCUAAUACAUGCAAGUCGAGCGAACAGAUAAGGAGCUUGCUCCUUUGACGUUAGCGGCGGACGGGUGAGUAACACGUGGGUAACCUACCUAUAAGACUGGAAUAACUCCGGGAAACCGGGGCUAAUGCCGGAUAACAUGUUGAACCGCAUGGUUCUACAGUGAAAGGCGGCUUUGCUGUCACUUAUAGAUGGACCCGCGCCGUAUUAGCUAGUUGGUGAGGUAACGGCUCACCAAGGCAACGAUACGUAGCCGACCUGAGAGGGUGAUCGGCCACACUGGAACUGAGACACGGUCCAGACUCCUACGGGAGGCAGCAGUAGGGAAUCUUCCGCAAUGGGCGAAGGCCUGACGGAGCAACGCCGCGUGAGUGAUGAAGGUCUUCGGAUCGUAAAACUCUGUUAUUAGGGAAGAACAAAUGCGUAAGUAACUGUGCGCGUCUUGACGGUACCUAAUCAGAAAGCCACGGCUAACUACGUG
This 497-nucleotide ribosomal RNA is filed under the name uncultured bacterium. RNAcentral describes it as "partial 16S ribosomal RNA". It matches the Rfam family "Bacterial small subunit ribosomal RNA", at positions 28 to 507 of the family's 1533-position model. The record is from RNAcentral.